RNAcentral lists this long non-coding RNA (9917 nucleotides) under Olea europaea (common olive). RNAcentral's name for it is "long non-coding RNA (OEUR_LNC001008)". The record is from RNAcentral. Lineage: Eukaryota; Viridiplantae; Streptophyta; Magnoliopsida; Lamiales; Oleaceae.
UUUGGGGCUGCCAAAAUGAUAAGGUUAGAUGGGCUUUUCUCCUCUGUGAAUCAGAUUCUCAACAUUGCGACUUUAUUGUACCUUCUGUUAUUUUUUUCUCAUGCAUGUGCAGUGUCUUUGAUGGGUGUAGAAUUUAUACCGUAAGAUCAGCGUGUGUACAUCACAAGCUUUUGUUGCUCCUUUAUAUACUGUUGUCGAAAUAAUUGUUCCCAAUAUUGUCAAAAUUUUCUUGCUAAGACCCAAUUUGGAGGUCAUAAUUUGCGGGAAAAAGCGAGAAUACAGAAAAGCUUAUCGUCAUUUUUAGGUACUUGAGCAUUUUGGAUGGAUCUAUGAGAAUUGUGUGUACUUAAUGCAUUUUGCAUUUGAUGCUCCUUCAUGCUUAUUACUAUAGAUAGUUAAUAAGUAAAGAUGAUAAACAUACAUCAUUGACUUGCAGGAGAAUUGUUGGGGUAGCUCAUGUUGCAGAUUUUGAAUCGAUCAAAGAGGCUAAAAAACGAGCAGAUUGUGAGCGAAAAGCUCUUAACUUUGCCAAGAAUCUUCUGAAGGAGAGAAGAAAUUUCCAAAGCAUUAGUGAGGUGGUUUCUGCAAUGGAGAAACUCGAUUAGUUAUCUUCAUAAUUUUCAUAUUUUGGGAUGUCUAAAUAUGUUGGUUUUGAGGAGUGUUUUGCAAUAACUGCUGUGUAUGAAUUGAUUAAGAAUAAACUCCCUUGUGCAGUGGAAGGCUCCCCCUUUUUAUUAUGGAUUCAUAUGUUUUGCUCAAAGCCUCAAACCCAAGAGUGAGCGAGGAAUAACAAUUGUGUACAUAUCAACACGACUCUAUUUUCUUAAUAAUUUCAUUCAAAAAUUCUUAUUUACAAAAAAAAUUUAAAUAUAAAAAACUGAUCCCUAAAUUAAUCUCAAUAGUUUGUGUCGAGCGACAUAGAUUUUGAGGCUGGAGCAUUACAACACCUGGUUUCACGGGGUGCCUUUCUUCUUGGCACAGAAAGGGACACCGUGCGGCAGUAGUCUGCUCCGCUAGACUACCUUCCGCCUUUUCUCGGUCGCGUCGGGACGAAAGAAAAUUUGAUUGCAAUUUUGUAGAAAGCUUACAAUUGAGAAUUUGAAUACAUUGAAAGUAAAUUGAACAUUGAUUGCUGAAAACUGAACAUUACAAUUGAUGAAAGCAGAAAAUUACAAAUGCUGGUGCAGGGGGCGGACACCAGUGAGCUUGAAAGAUUUUUGAAUGACUAAUACCCCCUAUAAUAGCAUUCUGAACAAAAACCCAAGUGACGGGAGUAGACGUUUAAAAGACGAGGAAUCAUACUAAUCUUUUACCAAUAUCAGAGCUAUUUUACAAUUAAAAUAACUAUUACAAUGAAACGAAAAUUACAACUCAAACUUGAAGUAAUAUUUACAAUGUGCGGUCGAAGUUGGGCAAACUGCGGCUGCGAUAGUGUCAAGGGGCUAAGUAAAGCUGCGGUCCUUGACAUUCUCCCCCAUUUGUUUUGGUGACGUCCUCGGUGCCAUCAAUGCAUGAUACUCUUCAAUUAAUGAUUUGAAGGCCCCGAGAUCUUUUUCUCUUUCCCAAGUAUUCUCCUCGCUGCUGCAUCCCAUCCAUUUGACCAAGUACUCCUGAUGAUCUUUUCUAGAAGCCCGAGUGAUUCGAUGAUCAAGAAUAGCUUCAGCAACCUUCUUUCCAGCUUUCUUCAGUUCAAAUACAGGUCGCUUUGGCUCAUUUCUAGAUGCGUCCUCCUUAUCCAAAAAGUAUGGCUUCAACACACUAACAUGAAGGACCUUGUGGAUUUUACACCAUGAAGGGAGUUCAACUCUGUAUGCAACUCUUCCAAUCCUCUUCACAAUGGGUAAUGGUCCAAUGUAUUUUGGUGACAACCUUGAGUCCUUCCCUCUUGUUGGCUUGUAAACAAUUCUGUCGAAAAGCUUAACCAUUACCAGAUCUCCAACAUUGAAUUCAAUAAAACGACGCUUUAGAUCUGCAGCCUUUUUAUACCGUUUUUGAGAAAAGAUAACUCCGAGCAAUUUCAAUAUUUCGUUUCCACUCUUGAGAAAAGCUCUUUGCUUGAGGGGACUUGGUACUUCGUUCAAUAUCCACUGUAUGAGGGAGUAGCGGUUGCUGGCCAGUAACAAUCUCAAAAGGACUCUUAUUGGUGGAAGAGCUCUUUUGGGCAUUGAAGCAAAUUUGGGCCGCAUCCAAAAGUUUUACCCAGUUUUUCUGCGAAGUAGAGAUAAAGUGCCGAAGAUAUUCUUCUAGCAUAGAAUUGAAGCGCUUCCGUCUGUCCGUCAGAUUGUGGGUGAAAACUGGAACUCAUGCUCAAAGUUGAACCAAGAAGUUUGAACAACUCAGUCCAAAAUAUGCCAGUGAAACGAGGAUCUCGAUCACUGACGAUGUCCUUAGGCAGCCCCCAGUAUUUGACAAUAUGUUUGAAGAAGCUAUUGCCCAAUAAAAAAAGAAAGUUGUUGCUUAGAUUUUGAUUAUGUGCAUCUGUUGAUGUUUUAAGAUCAUGAAGAGAUGUAUCUUGAUAAAUAUAGUCAAUUGGUGUGUUUUGGAAUGGCAUGGGUCUUGUCGGAACAAGUAGUGUCGUCAGUAUUUGUAUUUGCAAGUUGGGUAUCUUAGCUUGCACUCUUGACCAAAUUUGUUGGCAUGAAGUUUGAAUGUUGGGUGGUAUGUGUAAAAGGGAAUGAGAGCUUUUUCCGGUGAUAUAAAGGUCCAGCGAUUUGAGCGAUGGUUGGCCGAAAUUUUUUGACUUUCUAAAGUGGCAACGCCAUUUGAUGGUAUAUGAGAUGGAGGUAGGGAGAGGAGGAGAAAGAAAGAGUUUUUUUUUUUUUUUUAAUUUUAAUAAUUUAUUUCAAUUUAUUUGCACUUUUUAAAAAGUUUAGGAGUAAGAUUGUAAUUUGUUAUUUAUUUUAUUUUCUUUCCUUUUUAGCUUUAUUUAAAUAAGAUGGUAUAUUGAUCAUUUUAUGUUAAAACUUAGUAAAAAUAACGUUUUUCGUAAUGAAAUGUGAAAAUAUUAGCGAAAAUGUCAAAAAAUGAAAUGUAGAAAUGUAUUGUACAAAUUAGCCAACCUUUAAAUGAUUCAUUAAAUACAUAUAAGUUAUUGCACAUAAAUAAUACUGAAGUAGUUUGUGUUCUAGCGGUAAGGAACCAAUUAUUUUCCUUGGAGUUCCAACGUUCAAUUUUCUUAGACCAAAAUUUUGAAAGAGGAUUUCAAAAUCCGAUCAACAGGCCAGUUGUUUAAUAUUAAAAUCAGCGGUUAACUCGGUCAAAGUCAAUUUUUGACCAAGUCAUUUGCAUUUCUAUCAAAUUAAUCCGCUCGGCCUGAUCAAUGGCCCAGGUUGCUUAUUUAACUAUGAUAUUUUUAGAUGUUGGGGGCAUAAUAGAAUGGUCCCCAAUCUAUCAAAAAUAUAACAAGUAGGACUAUAACCAAAUGUUACGACACCCAAAGUCCCUAAUCUUUAAUUUUUGUACAACUUUGCUAUUAGCAAUACCUCGCAUGACACCCUCCUCACAAGAGGAAGCCUCCUCUUGUGAGUGAGGUGUCAACCUUGGAUGUACAAAUAGCGAAAUUGAUUUUUGACACUGCAAAUGUACAAAUAACGAUAUUGAUUUUUGUAAUAUGUAGGUCCCAUUGGAAAUUGUGCCAUUUAAUUUAAUUAAAAAUUCAGAUUUAUUUAAAAUUAUAACUUUACCUUUGUCUUUAAUUAAGUAAAAAUUAAAUAAUGAAAAACGAAGAGAGACUAAAGCAAGUUAAAUACACUUAUGCUUAGUUUCCAAAACGAAGAGAAACUAAGUCAAGUCAAAACCCUCACGCUUAGUUUUGUAUUUUCUUUAAUAAAUGAUGGUGGUUAGACCAUGUUUGUAAUAAAAUUUUGGAUUUUUCAAUUAAAGAUAAUCAUAUAAUUAUUCAUCAGAAACUCAAAUACUAUAAGAAUUGGAAGAUCGAGACUGCAAUCACCAAAUUAAUAAGUUAAGGCCCUAAUUGUGUGUGUCUUUUUUUUUUUCUUUUUUCUUUUUUUUAAACAAUUCUUAUUUGGUACCUUUCGGGAAGAUUUCAUCUUGGUGCACAUUUGGAAAAAAAGAAAAUUAUAAAUUCCUCAUAAUUCAAGAUCAAAGUCAAAUAUUGAGAUUGCAGUGAAUAUCUAUUUAUCAGAUAAAUAUUUCAUGAAUCUUAUUACUCUUAUGGUGCGUUUGAUUGCAAGAAUAGAACUUGGGUAAAAAAAUGAAUUUCAAAGAAUUGGAUUGCCUAGAACUUGUUUUUUUGGAAAUUGUUAAUUAAAUUUGUUUAAUUCGUAUAACUUUCUACAUGAAAAAUGUUAAAAAUUUCUAUUUUUUUGUGCUUGUUUGGCUUUGUUUUCCAUGGAAUUUUUCAAUUAAAUAGAUAUAAUUUAUUACAAUUGGAGAUAAAAUUUAUUCCAACUGCCCAAAAAAAAAAAUAGAGUAGUUGGAAAACCAAUUCCUACCAAAACUAAAAGAAAACCAAUUCUUUAAAAACUUGGAAAAAGGGGUUGGUGGAAAAUGAAAUCCAUGAAAAAUUUUGCCCAUCAAACAUAUCAUUUGGCUGGAAAAUGAAAUUUAUUUUCCCUGAAAACUGGAGCCUAUCAAGCCCAUAUAUUCUCUUCUAAAAGGCACUAAAUUUAAAAUAUGACCAGAUUCAAUGAACCUCGCCAAUCAUUUUGUUUGUGUUGUCGUGCCCAAAAGUAGCACUAUUCGAUCAAUAAAGUUAUUUGUACAAAGUUGAAUUACAAAAAUUGAAUUACAAAAUGUGUUAACAAAAUUCAUGCCAUUAAUUUGAAAUGAUUAAAAAAUUUGGUUUUAAAAUAAUUGAUGUGAAUAUUAUUUUCUCAACCAACUUUAUUACUUUUUAUGAGUGUCGCACAGCUCUUAUUCGAUUGACAUUGCCUUCCGUUCACCAAUCAUAUUCUUCCAUUUCUUACCCUUCUCGAAUCAAAGUUCACAUUACAGUCUCAGGUUUUCAGUCUUCUCAAUUAUUAUCUACACUGUGCACCACUAGGGUAUGGCUUCUGAUGGAUUCCGGCCACUGGACGAGAAGUUAUUGGUGGAAUACGUGAAGGCAACUCCAGUACUGGCUGAGAAGCUGGGCAAUCAGUUUGAUAAGCUGGAAAUUGAAGAAGUAGGCGAUGGAAAUCUCAAUUUUGUGUAUAUUGUUAUUAGCCCAUCAGGCUCCUUAGUUAUCAAACAGGUAACAAGAUCUGUGCUCUCAGAUCAUUUUUUAGAAUUCGACCGACUUGCUAGAGUAAAAACUAAAAAGUUUUUCUUUUAUUUAUAUAUUUAUUUUUUUGCUAGCCAUUAUUCGGCAUGUUCUCGUUACAUUUAAGCUCCCAAGAAAAGAAAAUGUGUUGAAAAUCAAAGAUAGAUGAUGUUACUUUGAUUUGAUUGCAAGAUAUGGCUCCAUCAAUCAGACUUAAUAUCGAAGGGCUGAAAUUCAUCAAUUUUCUUUGUAUAUCCAUGCUAGCUAGUGUUGAUUGAGAAAGAUGAGGGUUUUUGGUCCAUAUUAGUUCUAGAUUUUCUUGGGAGGAGAAUGAUUGGGGCAGCAUUUCCCGACUUUAUUUUGACUUGCAAAAUAAGAAGCGAGAGAACAAAGUGGAACCUUCCAUCCUGGUUAGCAAAGGAGGCUAGAAUUAAGAGAAGAAGACAACACCAGCAUUCUUGAAGUUUCUUACAUAUUUGUUGUUGUUUUAUGUAAUGUCUUAUAGAAUGAGGAUUUAAAUAAUAUUGAUACUCUAUUGUCAUCUUACUCUAGCAAACCUUCACGAUAAAAAUCUACCACGCCGAAGUUUUAAUCAACCAUAGAAAGCUAUAGAGUUCUCUAACACAUUUACAUAUUGGGGUGUCUAAUAUGUAGAACAACUUCUAAAUCAAGUGCCUUAAAACCUGAAGGCGUGUCAUGGGGAAGAUGUUAAGAGUUAAAAGCUUCUUUCAUAUAGAUCAAAUAUCAUCUCUCAAUGACCUUGAGGAAAACUAUGAAUACUGUUCCUUCUCAAACUGUUUAUAAAUCUCUGCAGGCUCUUCCUUAUAUUCGUUGUAUAGGGGAGUCAUGGCCAAUGGCAAAAGAACGUGCCUAUUUUGAAGCAAUCACACUAAAAGAGCAUGGUGGCUUGUGUCCUGACCAUGUUCCUGAGGUUUACCAUUUCGACAGCUCGAUGUGUUUAAUUGGUAUGCAGUACAUUGAGCCUCCUCAUAUAAUCUUAAGAAAGGGGUUGAUUGCCGGGAUUGAGUAUCCAUUGCUUGCAGAGCACGUAUCAGACUAUAUGGCUAAAACCCUAUUCUACACGUCCCUUCUGUAUCUUACAACAACAGAUCAUAAAAGUGCAGGUAAGCAAUUUGCUUGGUCUUUUUACGAUCAUCUAACACCUGUACUAGAUCUACAGUUGACUUCAAUUGUUUAUCAGAAACUUGUAUUAUAACUUUAGAAUGUGAAGAUUCUGCCAGUAGCUUUUUGUUUAGUCUUCACAGACCCCUAAGGUACCUAAUUUGACUGUCUCCUAUGUUGACUUUUUGUUCCAUACUUCAGUUUCAUGGCCUUCACACCGUAUCGUUUCUGAACAGCACCAUUAUCAUUUCCAUUCAUGUCCUCUCAUUAUCCUCUUAUCCUUUCCAAUUCACCAUUAGUUUAUGUAAGAAAUAUUGAUGAGUUUUAGCUCCUACGUCAAUUAAUGUUGGAAGUCAGAACAUAAAUACUAGGCUGUUCAUCCUUGUUACUGAAUUUUAACCAUAUUACAUGCUUGUAUAUGCAUGUCUCAUUGGUACUUCAAUACUUGUGCAGUUGCUAAAUAUUGCGGAAAUGUGGAGAUGUGCAGACUCACUGAGCAGGUUGUCUUUUCUGACCCUUACAAAGUGUCUGAACAUAACCAUUGGACAUCUCCUUAUCUUGAUUCUGAUGCCGAAGCAGUUCGGGAGGAUAACCUUUUGAAGCUUGAAAUUGCUGAGCUAAAAUCCAAGUAAUCUGCAAUGUUAAAAUUCGAUUCCUUAUACUGCAUUUUAUUAAUUUUUUAAUAGAUGUGGAAUUUUUCCUUACGUUUCUUUGGUAACCUUCCAGAUUCUGUGAAAGAGCCCAAGCUCUUAUACAUGGUGAUCUCCAUACAGGUUCUAUCAUGGUGACUGGAGAUUCAACUCAAGUUAUUGAUCCUGAAUUUGGUUUUUAUGGGCCAAUGGGAUUUGAUAUUGGAGCUUUUGUUGGUAAUUUGAUUUUAGCUUACUUUGCACAAGAUGGACACGCUGUCGAUGGGAAUGAUCGAAAUGUAUAUUCUGACUCCACAUUCCUUUUCAUCAUCACUUAUUUUCUGACUAUCUUAAGUUUUCUGCAAUAACUCUCUGCUUCGCCAUGAUAUGUUUUUUCUUGAUAUUUUUACUUCUAAACUUUAUAGUGUCAUUCAGUUUUCUCAUCUCUCGCUCUCUCUCCCCAACCCCUUAGAAAUGGCAUCUUCUAGAAUUUUCCUUCUCAUAGUUGCUUGCUGGAUUGCUUCCAUUCUAAUUAGAGUCUUAUCGUGCAUAUAGUAAAUAAAUUACUUAUAUCUGUCCAUGUUAUGAUAGAGGGAAUUGCUUGAGAUUAAUAAAUUUCUGUUGUAUAAUUGACAUGUGCGCGUAAAUCUACCGUGCCCUGGAUUUUUUGUUUGAAAGCAAGAUUUACUGUGAAAAAUUCAAUUUUGUUAGUGAGGUUAUUGGCCGAAUUUGUUUCUGGAGUAAACUGGAAUAGCCGUUUUCAGAUACACACUUAAAAUGUAUCUGCAGAGUUUAUCCUCAGUAUGACCACUUCAUUUAAACAUUAAAAGUAGUAUGUUCAAGUUGUUUGUUGAGGUUCUGAUUGUUUAUAUUUCUUGAAUUAGACACUUCGUUUGAAAGGUGUCAUUUAUACGAAGUGGAUAGUGUUUUUGACUUUCCAAAAUGACAUUAGGGUAGAGUAAUUGUACAUCUGGCUGCCAAAUAGUGUGUUUAUAUGUGUAUUGGGAUCACAAAUGGUUGUGCAUUGCCUUGAGGGAGAUGAAACAUACCUGUGUAGUGAUAUCUAAAUGGUGGUUUUUUUCAUGAACAUUGUCAUCAGGAGACAAUUUCUCCUCGCAGGCUUAACUUUGCAACUUUUUUUUAGAUCAUGUAUAUCAGCAUAUCAGCAUAGUAGAUGAUUUUAACUUUGAUAAAUUCAGCUGUAGUGGAUGCAAAUGUCAGCUGAAAGGAAAUGUGGAGCUUGUCACUUAGGAGAAAGUUGUGUCCUAACUGGUUCCUCUUUUUCCGUGCUUCAUUACUCUCCAACUAACAUGAUUAAGGUCCCAAUAAUCUCUUGUUAACGAGGUAGUAAUAAGAAGGGCCAGAUUUGGGAUUUAUUUUCCUUUUUGGUUUUCUUCCAAAACUUCCAUGUCAUUUUUGCUUUCAAAAUUUCCCAUCUGAUUAUGCCUGUUAGGAAUGUGUGUAUUCUUUUCCAUGACAGAUUUCUGUUUAAAGUUAGUUGAGAGCUAACUGCUGUGAAGAAGGGGAAAAAAAAAACAACAGGAGCGUGUUGGCUCUAAUUGUAAAAUAGGGCACUAAUAUCUUGCAUAAAUAGAGAGUGAAAGUUACAAAAGGGGUUGGUACUCGUUAUCUGAAAACCACAGGGAAAACUCAUAGUUGUAUAGAGAGAGAGAGAGCCUAUUGUAUAAAAGUCAAACUAUUGAGUGUGUAUCUUCUGCUCAUACACGUAGUGAAUUUGACUUUUAGAUCAUGUAUAUCAGCAUAUCAGCAUAGUAGAUGAUUUUAACUUUGAUAAAUUCAGCUGUAGUGGAUGCAAAUGUCAGCUGAAAGGAAAUGUGGAGCUUGUCACUUAGGAGAAAGUUGUGUCCUAACUGGUUCCUCUUUUUCCGUGCUUCAUUACUCUCCAACUAACAUGAUUAAGGUCCCAAUAAUCUCUUGUUAACGAGGUAGUAAUAAGAAGGGCCAGAUUUGGGAUUUAUUUUCCUUUUUGGUUUUCUUCCAAAACUUCCAUGUCAUUUUUGCUUUCAAAAUUUCCCAUCUGAUUAUGCCUGUUAGGAAUGUGUGUAUUCUUUUCCAUGACAGAUUUCUGUUUAAAGUUAGUUGAGAGCUAACUGCUGUGAAGAAGGGGAAAAAAAAAAAAACAACAGGAGCGUGUUGGCUCUAAUUGUAAAAUAGGGCACUAAUAUCUUGCAUAAAAGGGGUUGGUACUCGUUAUCUGAAAACCACAGGGAAAACUCAUAGUUGUAUAGAGAGAGAGAGCCUAUUGAAUAAAAGUCAAACUACGAGUGUGUAUCUUCUGCUCAUACACGUAGUGAAUUUGACUGGGAAAUUUGUCCUGUUCUUGAAUAUAGCAAUUCUUGUUCUGAUUCUUGUAAAUUGCUGGUGUCACUUCUGUGUUUUUUUCUUUCUUCAUCUCUAUAACUGUUCUUGUUUGUGUGUGCAAAUCUUUAACAAGUAGCUUAUCCAGUAAAAAAAUUUUUUCAAUGCAGCAUUAUAAAGUCUGGAUUUUGAAGACUAUAACUGAGACUUGGAAUCUCUUCUAUAAAAAGUUUACUGCUCUUUGGGAUGAACAUAAGGAUGGUCCUGGAGAGGCAUAUCUUCCAGCUAUUUAUAAUAAUCCAGACGUACAGUUGCUGGUCAAACAGAUAUACAUGAAAGAACUUUUCCACGACACUCUUGGAUUUGGCGCUGCCAAAAUGAUAAGGUUAGAUGGGCUUUUCUCCUCUGUGAAUCAGAUUCUCAACAUUGCGACUUUAUUGGACCUUCUGUUAUUUUUUUCUCAUACAUGUGCAGUGUCUUUGAUGGGUGUAGAAUUUGUACCGUAAGAUCAGUGUGUGUACAUCACAAGCUUUUGUUGCUCCUUUUGCAUUUGAUGCUCCUUCAUGCUUAUUACUAUAGAUAGUUAAUAAGUAAAGAUGAUAAACAUAUAAAGAUGAUAAACAUACAUCAUUGACUUGCAGGAG